AAACUCAUACAAGGGAAAUGCUAUGUCAUAAAAGUGGUUUUCCUUGGGGGAGGCACAUCCAUUGCACUUUGGGUGUGCUGCUGAUCCCUGUGAUUUCCCCAAAUGUGGGGAACUCAAUUCCAUAAUUUGUGUUAAUGGGAUAUUGCACUUGUGAUUAACCUUG
Molecule: small nuclear RNA, 163 nt
Filed under: Pogona vitticeps (central bearded dragon)
Lineage: Eukaryota; Metazoa; Chordata; Lepidosauria; Squamata; Agamidae
Description: U1 spliceosomal RNA (ENSPVIG00000025259.1)
Rfam family: U1 spliceosomal RNA
About the family: U1 is a small nuclear RNA (snRNA) component of the spliceosome (involved in pre-mRNA splicing). Its 5' end forms complementary base pairs with the 5' splice junction, thus defining the 5' donor site of an intron.
Source: RNAcentral